CCUACGGGGGGCAGCAGUGAGGAAUAUUGGUCAAUGGACGAGAGUCUGAACCAGCCAAGCCGCGUGAAGGAUGACUGCACUAUGGGUCGUAAACUUCUUUUAUAAAGGAAUAAAACGAGGCACGUGUGCCUUUUUGCGUGUACUUUAUGAAUAAGGAUCGGCUAACUCCGUGCCAGCAGCCGCGGUAAUACGGAGGAUCCGAGCGUUAUCCGGAUUUAUUGGGUUUAAAGGGAGCGUAGAUGGGUAGUUAAGUCAGUUGUGAAAGUUUGCGGCUCAACCGUAAAAAUGCAGUUGAUACUGGCAGUCUUGAGUACGGUAGAGGUAGGCGGAAUGCGUGGUGUAGCGGUGAAAUGCUUAGAUAUCACGAAGAACCCCGAUUGCGAAGGCAGCUUACUAAACUGUGACUGACAUUGAUGCUCGAAAGUGUGGGGAUCGAACAGGAUUAGAUACCCCAGUAGUC
This 460-nucleotide ribosomal RNA is filed under the name uncultured bacterium. RNAcentral describes it as "partial 16S ribosomal RNA". It matches the Rfam family "Bacterial small subunit ribosomal RNA", at positions 338 to 795 of the family's 1533-position model. The record is from RNAcentral.